This 1925-nucleotide unclassified non-coding RNA is filed under the name Melitaea cinxia (Glanville fritillary). RNAcentral describes it as "misc RNA ENSMCXG00005014077.1". Lineage: Eukaryota; Metazoa; Arthropoda; Insecta; Lepidoptera; Nymphalidae. The record is from RNAcentral.
GGUCUGCCGGCCGUCGCGACGCUCGGGGUCGCUCCGCCGCGCCGCCUGCCGGACUGCUUUUCGCGUAUCAUGUGGGAAACGUGAAAUGCACUGCUGUGCUUGCCUGCGACGCUGAGCGUUCGACUUUUACCCAAUACACCGGCUCUACCACGUUCGUAGGACUCCGUGUCCGGUCACGCUCUCCCGAUUCUUUCUGUCGCGUUUCGCUUCAACUUUAUUGUGCAGUGUGCCGCUGGGACAUUGUUUUAUAUUUUAAGAGCUCAUUAAUUUUAUAUUUUCAAAGUAUAUAAAUUUUGUGACAAUAACACCACACACAUUGCCUGUUUGUGAAUAACCGUUUACCGUAACGUAACCGUGCUAUCGGUUCACUAAUGGGUUAAGUUUGUUUAGGUUUAUAGAGGUAUUAUGAAUUAUUUCACACAACGCGAUCAACGUUACGAUAUAUAAGAUAACAAUAUAAUCUGAUAAUGAUGUGAUGUAUCAAGUAAAAAAUUACAAGUAUGGGUUAAAUUGACAUAAAAAAUAGACCGGUUUUAUGACUGUGUCUUUAAUUUAUGUAUUUAAGUGAUAACUUUAAUAUAAAUUUACAUUUGACGUUUAUUAUUACCUUUCAAACAUUUCCAACAACCUAACUCGCAUAUCAGUAAAAUUAUCUUCGCUAACUUUCAAGACUGAUAAAGAUUUUUUGAGAAUUUACGCUUUACCACGUGCCAAAACUAGAACUUACCUUACGCGAUUUCCGAUCAGAUCGGACAUGUUGGUGAAAUGAAAUACGAAUGGUGAUUUUAAAAGUGUGUGCUGGUGUUUGCGUGAGUGAGUGUAGUGCGGUGGGCGGCGCGUGCGCCUUGGCUCGUCGGGCGCGCACGGCACCAAGGUGGUCGGAGGGGGGGUGUUCCGUUGCUGCGUGCCCUGGUGCGGGGCGCGCGCGGCGGCGCCCGACGACGCCGACUAUGCCCUGAGAGAGGGCAGCCCGCAGCUGUCUCACCAAGAAUUCGUCGUUCCGGAGACGGUAAUAAGUUCUCCACGUCCACUCGGCCAGCAAUCUCCUUUGCCCGGUAUCGAAGAGGAGGACGACUCCGACUGGCCUCUCGAGGACGCCGCAGAUUCCACUCUUACUCCCUCUUACAAAAGCACAAAGAGUAGUACUGAUACUGUUUAUACUUCGUCAAGAAGCUCUGGAAAGAAGCGUAGUUUUGGAAGUCCUUCAUCCGUAAAGAUAUGUGUAUCAGCAGCAGCAAGGAAGUCUAACAAAGCACGUAAGCGUGGCUCCAGCACUGCUAGCGCGUCGCCUGCCGGGCAAGUCGGAGACGACGCGCCCGCGACCACUCACGGCAAGAUGCAGGCUGAACAGGGUAGCAUCGGUGAGCUUCAGAAGUAUCACGGGAGAUACCUCAAAAGUCGUCGUCACACUCUAGCAAAUGUUCGGUAAGUGAUGACGGUGUAUUUGCCGAGAGAGACGAAAAUAUUCUGCGUAAGUAAAUAUAGUUAACAAAUAUGGAUAUGGUAGUAUAGGAAUUAAAAUACUAAGAUAAACUAUCAUCUUAAUUCUUACUUGAUGUUAUAAAACUUACUGAUAAUAUUUAUUUUACGUGAGUAAAUGUUCAUUUAUUCUUCCUCUCACCAUUUUUACUGACCAUUGCAGCCAUUUCUGCACAACUCGUUUCAAGAAAUAUUUUACAAUUAUUUUAAAUUCAUAACAAAGUACAUUGUAAAAUUUCAUAUUAAUAUAAUUUUGAAUAAAAGGCAAUUUAUUAUUUAACACAGUAUUCAUAAAGCUGUCUCGUCUAAUUCGAAUAUUUUAUAUUGUAUUUCGAAUAUUUUGUUGAGCACAUAAAGAAAAAAUGUUGAUAAUCGGAACAGUCACCGAAGUCACCGAAUAUAGAGUUACCAUUUUGAAGAGUCGCUUCUCAAAUUACUCGCUUUAA